RNAcentral lists this long non-coding RNA (278 nucleotides) under Saimiri boliviensis boliviensis (Bolivian squirrel monkey). Its description in RNAcentral is "lncRNA (ENSSBOG00000036504.1)". The record is from RNAcentral. Lineage: Eukaryota; Metazoa; Chordata; Mammalia; Primates; Cebidae.
AGACUGAUGGCAGCACGUGUAGUCACUGCAAAGAGUAGCCUAAUAAGCUGGAAUUGCUUCUCUCCCAUUGGUUGCGAAUGGUGGGACUGUUUUGCCCUGACUUCCCCCAGCCACAUGGAAACGGUGCCACCCAUUUUCUCUCUGCUUCUGUCCUCGGUUUACCACUGGAUUUCCCCUGCAGUUGUCAAGUAACAGCCUGUUUAGCUGGAUAUUAAUACAUAGACCUCUUUCUGUGUGCCGGACCGGGGUAAUCAUCUCAAUCCUUGCUUCAACACCUC